UUCAAAGAAGCUUUUUAGAUGUUGCAGAAAGUUUAGACACUAAAGUAGAUGCAGAUUUUUCUCUUAUAACUUUCCUGCUUGAAAUAAAGGUGGUGUGCUAACUGGAAACAAUAUCAUUGCCACUGAAGGAACCUCAUUGCUUUCACACAACUAUGAAAAGUCGAGCAAACCUGCAGAGAAAGACAACUUGAUGUGUUAGAUCUAACCUGUUCUUAGAGGCUUUCUUGAAGUGUCACCUGAAGCCCAAGCUUUAUCAUCUUUCCCUGUCUGGAUUCUAGAAAAUAAUGACACAACACAAAGCAAGAGGAGAGAAUGAGACUGGAAACAAAAAUGUCACCAAGUCGUCUCAUAGUGGAUAACCUAAACGAGGACUUGGAA
Molecule: unclassified non-coding RNA, 378 nt
Filed under: Hevea brasiliensis (rubber tree)
Lineage: Eukaryota; Viridiplantae; Streptophyta; Magnoliopsida; Malpighiales; Euphorbiaceae
Source: RNAcentral